This 277-nucleotide ribosomal RNA is filed under the name Helix mileti. Its description in RNAcentral is "partial 16S ribosomal RNA". It matches the Rfam family "Archaeal large subunit ribosomal RNA", at positions 2028 to 2609 of the family's 2987-position model. The record is from RNAcentral. Lineage: Eukaryota; Metazoa; Mollusca; Gastropoda; Stylommatophora; Helicidae.
CAAAGGUAGCAUAAUCAGUUGGCUUUUAAUUAAAGUCUNGUAUGACGAAAGCAUGGGUGGAAACUGUCUUAGUAUAUUAAUUUGAACUUAUUUAGCAAGUGCAAAUACUUGCAAGUUUAAAAAAGACGAGAAGACCCUAGAAACUUGGAAUAGUUUUUGUUGGGGCGACAGAAUUACAUUUAACUAAUUCUUAUGACAUGACAUAAAAUUGGCAGAAUAAGUUACUCUAGGGAUAACAGCAUAAUUUUAAUAGUUUGUGACCUCGAUGUUGGAUUAG